UUUCUCCCCUGAUGACGUGCACUGGGCUCUGAGACAGUUUGAAGAAGGUUGUGCAUCUCUGGCCCUGACAAGCCAGAGUUCCUGAGGAGAUA
This is a small nucleolar RNA of Cololabis saira (Pacific saury), 92 nucleotides long. NCBI's taxonomy places the organism in Eukaryota, Metazoa, Chordata, Actinopteri, Beloniformes, Belonidae. The record is from RefSeq and is a predicted model, not a curated record.